Molecule: transfer RNA, 59 nt
Filed under: Alectorobius rietcorreai
Lineage: Eukaryota; Metazoa; Arthropoda; Arachnida; Ixodida; Argasidae
Description: tRNA-His
Source: RNAcentral
GUCUAAUUAGUUUAUUUAAAAUGUUAAAUUGUGGAUUUAAAGAAGAGAUUCAUUAGAUA